This 506-nucleotide ribosomal RNA is filed under the name uncultured bacterium. Its description in RNAcentral is "partial 16S ribosomal RNA". It matches the Rfam family "Bacterial small subunit ribosomal RNA", at positions 30 to 523 of the family's 1533-position model. The record is from RNAcentral.
AUUGAACGCUGGCGGCAGGCCUAACACAUGCAAGUCGAACGGUAACAGGAAACAGCUUGCUGUUUCGCUGACGAGUGGCGGACGGGUGAGUAAUGUCUGGGAAACUGCCUGAUGGAGGGGGAUAACUACUGGAAAGGGUAGCUAAUACAGCAUAACGUCGCAAGACCAAAGAGGGGGACCUGCGGGCCUCUUGCAAUCGGAUAGACCAAGAUGGGAUUAGCUAGUAGGUGGGGUAACGGCUCACCUAGGCGACUAUCCCUAGCUGGUCUGAGAGGAUGACCAGCCACACUGGAACUGAGACACGGUCCAGACUCCUACGGGAGGCAGCAGUGGGGAAUAUUGCACAGUGGGCGCAAGCCUGUUGCAGCCAUGCCGCGUGUAUGAAGAAGGCCUUCGGGUUGUAAAGUACUUUCAGCGGGGAGGAAGGGAGUAAAGUUAAUACCUUUGCUCAUUGACGUUACCCGCAGAAGAAGCACCGGCUAACUCCGUGCCAGCCGCCGCCGUAA